GCAAGUCGAGCGGGGAAGGGUAGCUUGCUACCUGACCUAGCGGCGGACGGGUGAGUAAUGCUUAGGAAUCUGCCUAUUAGUGGGGGACAACAUUCCGAAGGGAAUGCUGAUACCGCAUACGCCCUACGGGGGAAAGCAGGGGAUCUUCGGACCUUGCGCUAAUAGAUGAGCCUAAGUCAGAUUAGCUAGUUGGUGGGGUAAAGGCCUACCAAGGCGACGAUCUGUAGCGGGUCUGAGAGGAUGAUCCGCCACACUGGGACUGAGACACGGCCCAGACUCCUACGGGAGGCAGCAGUGGGGAAUAUUGGACAAUGGGCGAAAGCCUGAUCCAGCCAUGCCGCGUGUGUGAAGAAGGCCUUUUGGUUGUAAAGCACUUUAAGCGAGGAGGAGGCUACUUGGAUUAAUACUCUAGGAUAGUGGACGUUACUCGCAGAAUAAGCACCGGCUAACUCUGUGCCAGCAGCCGCGGUAAUACAGAGGGUGCGAGCGUUAAUCGGAUUUACUGGGCGUAAAGCGUGCGUAGGCGGCUUUUUAAGUCGGAUGUGAAAUCCCUGAGCUUAACUUAGGAAUUGCAUUCGAUACUGGGAAGCUAGAGUAUGGGAGAGGAUGGUAGAAUUCCAGGUGUAGCGGUGAAAUGCGUAGAGAUCUGGAGGAAUACCGAUGGCGAAGGCAGCCAUCUGGCCUAAUACUGACGCUGAGGUACGAAAGCAUGGGGAGCAAACAGGAUUAGAUACCCUGGUAGUCCAUGCCGUAAACGAUGUCUACUAGCCGUUGGGGCCUUUGAGGCUUUAGUGGCGCAGCUAACGCGAUAAGUAGACCGCCUGGGGAGUAC
RNAcentral lists this ribosomal RNA (832 nucleotides) under uncultured marine bacterium. RNAcentral's name for it is "bacterial SSU rRNA". It matches the Rfam family "Bacterial small subunit ribosomal RNA", at positions 57 to 883 of the family's 1533-position model. The record is from RNAcentral.